AGGAGCGGUCGGAAGGAAAAACACCUCUUCCUGCAAAACGCCCCGCAGCAGCCCAGGCAACCGGGGCGGCCCGGUGAUUCGCCACCGACGAGAGCUUCAAGGGCCUUCCUCUCUUGCAGCCCCGGCGCGCGGGACGGAAGAUGGGAAGCCAGCCGGAGUGGUUUUGUUUUGUUUUGAUGCCAGCUGCUGCUGCUGCUGCUGCCGCCGCCGCCUUGUCAGCUGCUUCCCUCCCAAGAACAACAACAACGCCUAAUUCUCAACAACUGCAUCAUGCUGCGAACCCUCUCUGAACACAACUCCAAAAAGCAGCACUUGCAAGACUGAUGUCAGCAGAAGUAAUUGAGACAAGAAGCACACCCUGAAGUACUAAUUCUAUCUUUAUUGUAAGAUUACAUUAACAGAAUCUUUCAAGUCUGAAAGUACAUCUCUUGCACUUCAUCUUUACAGUCCAAGAAAUUGGGGGGGGGGUGUCCUUCUGAGACAUUUGCUAUGCCCCAAUCCUUCUGGAAACUCAGCUGCUCUUCUCUGACCAUUACCUAGUCUGUGGCUCCCUCUCCUACCUCCCAAGGUCAUUCUCACAUCCCAUUACAGAGGCAGAGCUUCGAUCACUACAUUGUGGCCACUAUCUUGACUUUUUUGACCUAUGCUGCAAACAUCCCUGGCUCUCAGAUGCACCCUUGCAAAAUCAGGAUCUGCCCACUUGCAGUCAUUUCGUAUCCAUUUUUAAUUACCCUUGAAGAAUGCUGAGAUAUCUCAGCUGAUUUCUCAGGUGAUCAAAACACAGGCAUUGACUACUGAAUGGAACAGGCAAAAUAUAAUUAUUGCAAAAUUUUAAAUAAUGUCAUUGGUUCACUGUCCAUUUCUGAAAACAUUUCUAAUUUUGACAAUAGCUCUUAAUGGCUGCAGUCUGUAUAUCUGGAAAAAAGCCUGUUCCUACAUUUUAAAUUUUAAGCUUGCUCUUGGUGCCCCAUGUUCUAAAGUUAGACUUAUUAGCGAACAGGAAAGAACCUGUUCCUCUCUGAAUGGCUUCCUUGAUGCCAACAUUGAUGUAUAAUUCAGAACAGUAUGAAAUCAGAUCAGUUUUUAAAGGUCUUAUGCAAUUUCCUGUCUCAUUUUUUAUUUUAAAUUACUUUAAUUGAUGGCUACAACCUGACCUAGAAGCUUUCAGAUUGAAGAGGUACAAAUUUAUUAAGCAUACAAAAUAGCAAUUAAACUUCAGAUAUAAUAUAAUUUAAAACUUCUAAUAAGUUUAGUAAAAUUAAAAUACAAAUUUACUAUAUUGAUGAACAUUAUAAUUUGAGGAAAAUAAAAUGCACAAUUAUAUUUAGAAUGAAAAAAUGUCCUUUUCUAUUAUAAUUUGACAUAGGACCAGGGCAUCUUUUCAUGCAUUUUUAAAGAACAACCUUAAAUACUUAAUUUAUUGAACCAGCUCUGCUCCAAAGUUUAAAUUACUUAUUAAUGUCCAUUUCUUUUCUGAACCAUUUUGUCUAGUGUCCUCUGAUCAAAAUAUUUAUAAUAGAAUUGUUCUCAUAGCAUCUGCCAGUAUACUAUUAACAAGUACUUUCAUAACACACAAAACUGGCCAUGCAUGGUAUGGUGUACAUUAACUGCCUUGCUCUGGAAUUACCAGUUGAAAUGCAAAUCAGCAAUUCUACCUGUAUGACCUGAAAAAAGGAACUGAUUUGCAUAUUUUCUACCUGUAAAAAUAUCAGAAAAAGAAAAAUCCUCAACCUCCUUCCCAAGUAGACCAAAGCUGAUGAAUGAGAAAUUGAAAUACCAUUAUCAAAUCUUAGGAUGGAUAAAAUGUAGGAUUCAAAUGCAGAUACUUAUUACAUUUGUUUUUUCCUGUGAGAAACAUGUUCCUCUGCUGCCCCCAAGUGGCUUCAGAAACCAAUGUUAGCGCAGCACAAGGAUGAGCCAUUAAACUAUAGUAUGAAUAAACAACCACUUUACCAUGUUUUCCUCUUGUCUAUUAACCAGCACAAAACUAUGCCAGACUUUAGGUUGACUUCAAGAAGAAAAUGACGAAGUGGUAAUGGGUAAUAAUCAGAAGGCUGACUUCCUAAUUCUUGUUUCAUGUCUGUCUUCUGUUAGAUCUCCAAUAGGGUUCUAGCUGAUCAUGGUUAUGCCACUGAGAAAAGGAUGAAACUGAAACUUGGAAAGACAAGAAAAAAUAAUUGAGAACUUGUCAAGAAUUCAAGUCUCCAGUAUUAGAUGGACUAUUGGUAAUCUUAAAGAACUCCCAUGAGAAUAACAAAGUUCCAGAAGAUUGGAAGAGCACAAAUAGAAGGUCUCAAUAAACUACUGUCCUGUAUGCUUGAGAUCUUUACUGCAAAAGGCAACAUAUUUGUGAAAGUUAGGAUAAGUAUGGUACAAAUAACAGGAUUUAGCAUGGAUUAAUCAGAGAUAAACCAUGCUACACUAACAUUGUUUUUUGACAGACUAGUUUAGUAGUUCAGGAGAAUGCAUUGGACAUAGUGUAGAGAUGAAUCUCAACUAAAUCUCCAGCAGAAUAUGAUAAUAUUCUGGAUUAUACUGUUAGAUGUAGACACAGUUAAAUUAAUGCACCCUAAAAGUGUUCAGUAAUGAUUCCAGGUUAACUUGGGAGGAGGUUAUCAGGCCCCACACGAUGCUAUCCGGGGCCCUGUGCUGUCCAACAUUUUUUAUCAGUGGGGACCUGGUCAGAACAGAGUCCGGUGGAAAAUUACUUUAUGUAAUCUGAAGUCUUGUUCUUAUUGAUGCACUUUAAGAUAGUCUUUGUCUUUUUCAA
Molecule: non-coding RNA, 2770 nt
Organism: Pantherophis guttatus
Lineage: Eukaryota; Metazoa; Chordata; Lepidosauria; Squamata; Colubridae
Source: RefSeq, a predicted model, not a curated record